CCGGUUUAAGCGUGUAGGCUGGUUUUCCAGGCAAAUCCGGAAAAUCAAGGCUGAGGCGUGAUGACGAGGCACCACGGUGCUGAAGCAACAAAUGCCCUGCUUCCAGGAAAAGCCUCUAAGCAUCAGGUAACAUCAAAUCGUACCCCAAACCGACACAGGUGGUCAGGUAGAGAAUACCAAGGCGCUUGAGAGAACUCGGGUGAAGGAACUAGGCAAAAUGGUGCCGUAACUUCGGGAGAAGGCACGCUGAUAUGUAGGUGAAGCGACUUGCUCGUGGAGCUGAAAUCAGUCGAAGAUACCAGCUGGCUGCAACUGUUUAUUAAAAACACAGCACUGUGCAAACACGAAAGUGGACGUAUACGGUGUGACGCCUGCCCGGUGCCGGAAGGUUAAUUGAUGGGGUCAGCGCAAGCGAAGCUCUUGAUCGAAGCCCCGGUAAACGGCGGCCGUAACGAUAACGGUCCUAAGGUAGCGAAAUUCCUUGUCGGGUAAGUUCCGACCUGCACGAAUGGCGUAAUAAUGGCCAGGCUGUCUCCACCCGAGACUCAGUGAAAUUGAACUCGCUGUGAAGAUGCAGUGUACCCGCGGCAAGACGGAAAGACCCCGUGAACCUUUACUAUAGCUUGACACUGAACAUUGAGCCUUGAUGUGUAGGAUAGGUGGGAGGCUUUGAAGUGUGGACGCCAGUCUGCAUGGAGCCGACCUUGAAAUACCACCCUUUAAUGUUUGAUGUUCUAACGUGGACCCGUGAUCCGGGUUGCGGACAGUGUCUGGUGGGUAGUUUGACUGGGGCGGUCUCCUCCUAAAGAGUAACGGAGGAGCACGAAGGUUGGCUAAUCCUGGUCGGACAUCAGGAGGUUAGUGCAAUGGCAUAAGCCAGCUUGACUGCGAGCGUGACGGCGCGAGCAGGUGCGAAAGCAGGUCAUAGUGAUCCGGUGGUUCUGAAUGGAAGGGCCAUCGCUCAACGGAUAAAAGGUACUCCGGGGAUAACAGGCUGAUACCGCCCAAGAGUUCAUAUCGACGGCGGUGUUUGGCACCUCGAUGUCGGCUCAUCACAUCCUGGAGCUGAAGUAGGUCCCAAGGGUAUGGCUGUUCGCCAUUUAAAGUGGUACGCGAGCUGGGUUUAGAACGUCGUGAGACAGUUCGGUCCCUAUCUGCCGUGGGCGCUGGAGAACUGAGGGGGGCUGCUCCUAGUACGAGAGGACCGGAGUGGACGCAUCACUGGUGUUCGGGUUGUCAUGCCAAUGGCACUGCCCGGUAGCUAAAUGCGGAAGAGAUAAGUGCUGAAAGCAUCUAAGCACGAAACUUGCCCCGAGAUGAGUUCUCCCUGACUCCUUGAGAGUCCUGAAGGAACGUUGAAGACGACGACGUUGAUAGGCCGGGUGUGUAAGCGCAGCGAUGCGUUGAGCUAACCGGUACUAAUGAACCGUGAGGCUUAACCC
This 1442-nucleotide ribosomal RNA is filed under the name metagenome. RNAcentral describes it as "bacterial LSU rRNA". It matches the Rfam family "Bacterial large subunit ribosomal RNA", at positions 1507 to 2925 of the family's 2925-position model. The record is from RNAcentral.